Molecule: transfer RNA, 72 nt
Filed under: Mus musculus (house mouse)
Lineage: Eukaryota; Metazoa; Chordata; Mammalia; Rodentia; Muridae
Also listed under: 1 other name
Rfam family: tRNA
About the family: Transfer RNA (tRNA) molecules are approximately 80 nucleotides in length. Their secondary structure includes four short double-helical elements and three loops (D, anti-codon, and T loops). Further hydrogen bonds mediate the characteristic L-shaped molecular structure. tRNAs have two regions of fundamental functional importance: the anti-codon, which is responsible for specific mRNA codon recognition, and the 3' end, to which the tRNAs corresponding amino acid is attached (by aminoacyl-tRNA synthetases). tRNAs cope with the degeneracy of the genetic code in two manners: having more than one tRNA (with a specific anti-codon) for a particular amino acid; and 'wobble' base-pairing, i.e. permitting non-standard base-pairing at the 3rd anti-codon position.
Source: Rfam by way of RNAcentral
GAGGGUGUAGCUCAGUUGGUAGAGAGCUUGCCUAGCAUGCAGAAGCCUUAGGUUAGAUCCCAAACACUUGCA